CAGGACGAACGCUGGCGGCGUGCCUAAUACAUGCAAGUCGAACGGUCUUUCUAUGGAAGCUUGCUCCACUGAAAAGAUAGUGGCGAACGGGUGAGUAACACGUGGGUAACCUGCCCAUAAGAGGGGGGAGUAACAUCCGGAAACGGGUGCUAAUACCGCAUAGUUUUCUUGAUCGCAUGAUCGGGAAAGGAAAGACGGCCUUUGUGCUGUCGCUUAUGGAUGGACCCGCGGCGUAUUAGUUAGUUGGUGAGGUAACGGCUCACCAAGACGAUGAUACGUAGCCGACCUGAGAGGGUGAUCGGCCACAUUGGGACUGAGACACGGCCCAAACUCCUACGGGAGGCAGCAGUAGGGAAUCUUCCGCAAUGGACGAAAGUCUGACGGAGCAACGCCGCGUGAGUGAAAGAAGGUUUUCGGAUCGUAAAACUCUGUUGUCAGAGAAGAACAAGUUGGAGAGUAACUGCUCCAGCCUUGACGGUAUCUGACCAGAAAGCCACGGCUAACUACGUGCCAGCCGCCGC
This 521-nucleotide ribosomal RNA is filed under the name uncultured bacterium. RNAcentral describes it as "bacterial SSU rRNA". It matches the Rfam family "Bacterial small subunit ribosomal RNA", at positions 25 to 518 of the family's 1533-position model. The record is from RNAcentral.